Molecule: ribosomal RNA, 253 nt
Filed under: uncultured bacterium
Lineage: Bacteria
Description: partial 16S ribosomal RNA
Rfam family: Bacterial small subunit ribosomal RNA
Source: RNAcentral
GACAGAGGGUGCAAACGUUGCUCGGAAUCACUGGGCGUAAAGGGCGUGUAGGCGGAUCGGCAAGUCGGGCGUGAAAUCCCUGGGCUCAACCCAGGAACUGCACUCGAAACUGCCUUUCUUGAGUGCCGGAGAGGCUCGCGGAAUUCCCAGUGUAGAGGUGAAAUUCGUAGAUAUUGGGAAGAACACCGGUGGCGAAGGCGGCGAGCUGGUCCAUUACUGACGCUGAGGCGCGACAGCGUGGGGAGCAAACAGG